RNAcentral lists this ribosomal RNA (511 nucleotides) under uncultured Acaulospora. RNAcentral's name for it is "SSU rRNA". It matches the Rfam family "Eukaryotic small subunit ribosomal RNA", at positions 569 to 1082 of the family's 1831-position model. The record is from RNAcentral. Lineage: Eukaryota; Fungi; Glomeromycota; Glomeromycetes; Diversisporales; Acaulosporaceae.
AGCAGCCGCGGUAAUUCCAGCUCCAAUAGCGUAUAUUAAAGUUGUUGCAGUUAAAAAGCUCGUAGUUGAAUUUCGGAAUCUGUCCGUUGGUCGGGCUUCAUUGUCCGUACUGAUGUGAUGGGUUCUUACCUUCUGAAUAACCAGCAUGUCAUUAAUUUGGUGUGUUGGGGAAGCAGGACUAUUACCUUGAAAAAAUUAGAGUGCUCAAAGCAGGCUAGUGCCUGAAUACAUUAGCAUGGAAUAAUAAAAUAGGACGGCAUGGUUCUAUUUUGUUGGUUUCUAGGAUCACCGUAAUGAUUAAUAGGGAUAGUUGGGGGCAUUAGUAUUCAAUUGUCAGAGGUGAAAUUCUUGGAUUUAUUGAAGACUAACUUCUGCGAAAGCAUUUGCCAAGGAUGUUUUCAUUAAUCAAGAACGAAAGUUAGGGGAUCGAAGACGAUCAGAUACCGUCGUAGUCUUAACCAUAAACUAUGCCGACUAGGGAUCGGACGAUGUUAAUUUUAUAAUGACUUCG